This 253-nucleotide ribosomal RNA is filed under the name uncultured bacterium. RNAcentral's name for it is "partial 16S ribosomal RNA". It matches the Rfam family "Bacterial small subunit ribosomal RNA", at positions 524 to 776 of the family's 1533-position model. The record is from RNAcentral.
UACGGGGGGGGCAAGCGUUGUUCGGAAUUACUGGGCGUAAAGGGCUCGUAGGUGGCCAACUAAGUCAGACGUGAAAUCCCUCGGCUUAACCGGGGAACUGCGUCUGAUACUGGAUGGCUUGAGUUUGGGAGAGGAAUGCGGAAUUCCAGGUGUAGCGGUGAAAUGCGUAGAUAUCAGGAGGAACACCGGUGGUGUAGACGGCUUUCUGGACCGUAACUGACGCUGAGACACGAAAGCGUGGGUAGCAAACAGG